GACGAACCGUGCGAACGUUGUUCGGAAUCACUGGGCUUAAAGGGCGCGUAGGCGGCUUGUCAAGUCAGGGGUGAAAUCUUUCGGCUCAACCGGAAAAGUGCCUUUGAUACUGCCACGCUAGAGUAUCGGAGAGGUUGGUGGAAUUCUCGGUGUAGAGGUGAAAUUCGUAGAUAUCGAGAGGAACACCGGUGGCGAAGGCGGCCAACUGGACGAAUACUGACGCUGAGACUCGAAAGCGUGGGGAGCAAACAGG
Molecule: ribosomal RNA, 253 nt
Filed under: uncultured bacterium
Lineage: Bacteria
Description: partial 16S ribosomal RNA
Rfam family: Bacterial small subunit ribosomal RNA
Source: RNAcentral